This 384-nucleotide ribosomal RNA is filed under the name Triticum aestivum (bread wheat). RNAcentral describes it as "partial small subunit ribosomal RNA". Lineage: Eukaryota; Viridiplantae; Streptophyta; Magnoliopsida; Poales; Poaceae. The record is from RNAcentral.
AUGAGUAUGGGAGAGGAAGGAGUUGGCAGAAGUGAGGCCUUUGGAUCUUCUGGUUCGGUGAGGAUGGCCACCAUGUAUAGGGCUGGAGCAUCAGGGCCAAAGCAAAAGGUGCCCUUCCACAUCCCCACCAUCCCACGCCCGCAGGACGUGCACCGCAUUGUGGUGGACAACACGAGGAAGCCAUUCGACCAUGCUUUCCUUGAGCGCAGCGAUGAUGGUGCCCAUGCCAUACCCCCACUGGAAAAACUUCCCAUGGAGCAACUAUUUGACAGGCGUGUUCCUGAAAGUGAGCCAUUAAAACCACCUGCUUCAGAUGACACCCCUUUUACAUUUGUUGAAAACCGGAAAACCUUGGAAGUGUUGGUGACAAAGGCACAAGGCUGA